CGUGUAGGCGGUACAGCAAGUUGGAUGUGAAAGCUCCUGGCUUAACUGGGAGAGGUCGUUCAAAACUGCUGAACUAGAGUACGGAGAGGAAAAUGGAAUUCCGGGUGUAGUGGUGAAAUGCGUAGAUAUCCGGAGGAACACCAGAGGCGAAAGCGAUUUUCUGGACCGAAACUGACGCUCAGACGCGAAAGCUAGGGUAGCAAACG
This 206-nucleotide ribosomal RNA is filed under the name uncultured bacterium. RNAcentral describes it as "partial 16S ribosomal RNA". It matches the Rfam family "Bacterial small subunit ribosomal RNA", at positions 568 to 774 of the family's 1533-position model. The record is from RNAcentral.